UACGGAGGGUGCGAGCGUUGUCCGGAAUCACUGGGCGUAAAGGGCGCGUAGGCGGCCUGUCAAGCGUGUGGUGAAAGCCCGGGGCUCAACCCCGGGUCGGCCGUGCGGACUGGCAUGCUCGAGCACUGUAGGGGCGGGUGGAAUUCCGGGUGUAGCGGUGAAAUGCGUAGAUAUCUGGAGGAAUACCGGUGGCGAAGGCGGCAUCCUGGACCGACAUUGACGCUGAUGAGCGAAAGCUAGGGGAGCAAACGGG
This 253-nucleotide ribosomal RNA is filed under the name uncultured bacterium. RNAcentral describes it as "partial 16S ribosomal RNA". It matches the Rfam family "Bacterial small subunit ribosomal RNA", at positions 524 to 776 of the family's 1533-position model. The record is from RNAcentral.